This is a long non-coding RNA of Triticum dicoccoides, 418 nucleotides long. RefSeq lists it as uncharacterized. The transcript has 3 exons. NCBI's taxonomy places the organism in Eukaryota, Viridiplantae, Streptophyta, Magnoliopsida, Poales, Poaceae. The record is from RefSeq and is a predicted model, not a curated record.
UUUUUCCACUACAUUAGCCUUCAGAUUUUUCUUGGAUUUGCUUUCUGCACUAAUGUUUUCAGUACCAUCCUUCUUCCGCGAUGCUGCUGCAUGCCAGGAUUCGCAGUGGCACCGCCGCAGCCAGCGAGGACACAAGCUCACGAGGAUUGUUGCCGCUUCGGAGGACAUGGGAGCUGCCAUAGCCAGCGAGUACGUGAGCGCACGUAGGCACCAUCGCUUUCGAGGAUGCGAGAGCCAUCUCAGCUUGAGAGAAUGCGCAUACCAUCUCCAGUGUGUGCAACAAGUGUUCCUCUAAACGUCUGAGCGUAAAGACUACUCAUGGGUGAUGCUUCUGUGACCAGACCUCUAUAAAAUCACAAGAUAGUUUCAGUGUUGUUGUUCUCAAUCAUGUUACCCUUAAGUGCAAGACAUCAAUUUG